Molecule: ribosomal RNA, 460 nt
Filed under: uncultured bacterium
Lineage: Bacteria
Description: partial 16S ribosomal RNA
Rfam family: Bacterial small subunit ribosomal RNA
Source: RNAcentral
CCUACGGGGUGCUGCAGUGAGGAAUAUUGGUCAAUGGACGAGAGUCUGAACCAGCCAAGUAGCGUGAAGGAUGACUGCCCUAUGGGUUGUAAACUUCUUUUAUAUGGGAAUAAAAUGUUCCACGUGUGGGAUUUUGUAUGUACCAUAUGAAUAAGGAUCGGCUAACUCCGUGCCAGCAGCCGCGGUAAUACGGAGGAUCCGAGCGUUAUCCGGAUUUAUUGGGUUUAAAGGGAGCGUAGGUGGAUUGUUAAGUCAGUUGUGAAAGUUUGCGGCUCAACCGUAAAAUUGCAGUUGAAACUGGCAGUCUUGAGUACAGUAGAGGUAGGCGGAAUGCGUGGUGUAGCGGUGAAAUGCUUAGAUAUCACGAAGAACUCCGAUUGCGAAGGCAGUUCACUGGACUGCAACUGACACUGAGGCUCGAAAGUGUGGGUAUCAAACAGGAUUAGAUACCCUUGUAGUC